Molecule: ribosomal RNA, 497 nt
Filed under: uncultured bacterium
Lineage: Bacteria
Description: partial 16S ribosomal RNA
Rfam family: Bacterial small subunit ribosomal RNA
Source: RNAcentral
GACGAACGCUGGCGGCGUGCCUAAUACAUGCAAGUCGAGCGGACGGAUGGGAGCUUGCUCCCAGACCGUCAGCGGCGGACGGGUGAGUAACACGUGGGCAACCUGCCUGUAAGACUGGGAUAACUCCGGGAAACCGGGGCUAAUACCGGAUAACUCUUUCCCUCACAUGAGGGAAAGCUGAAAGAUGGCAUCUCGCUAUCACUUACAGAUGGGCCCGCGGCGCAUUAGCUAGUUGGUGAGGUAACGGCUCACCAAGGCGACGAUGCGUAGCCGACCUGAGAGGGGGACCGGCCACACUGGGACUGAGACACGGCCCAGACUCCUACGGGAGGCAGCAGUAGGGAAUCUUCCGCAAUGGACGAAAGUCUGACGGAGCAACGCCGCGUGAGUGAGGAAGGUUUUCGGAUCGUAAAACUCUGUUGUCAGGGAAGAACAAGUACCGGAGUAACUGCCGGUACCUUGACGGUACCUGACCAGAAAGCCACGGCUACUACGUG